GCUGAUUUGGCCGAGUUGGUCUAAGGCGCCGCACUCAAGUUGCGGUCUCGCAAGAGGCGUGAGUUCGAAUCUCACAGUCAGCA
Molecule: transfer RNA, 83 nt
Organism: Mucor circinelloides
Lineage: Eukaryota; Fungi; Mucoromycota; Mucoromycetes; Mucorales; Mucoraceae
Rfam family: tRNA
About the family: Transfer RNA (tRNA) molecules are approximately 80 nucleotides in length.
Source: Rfam